Molecule: ribosomal RNA, 1487 nt
Filed under: Escherichia coli
Lineage: Bacteria; Pseudomonadati; Pseudomonadota; Gammaproteobacteria; Enterobacterales; Enterobacteriaceae
Description: partial 23S ribosomal RNA
Rfam family: Bacterial large subunit ribosomal RNA
Source: RNAcentral
CUGUGAGCUCGAUGAGUAGGGCGGGACACGUGGUAUCCUGUCUGAAUAUGGGGGGACCAUCCUCCAAGGCUAAAUACUCCUGACUGACCGAUAGUGAACCAGUACCGUGAGGGAAAGGCGAAAAGAACCCCGGCGAGGGGAGUGAAAAAGAACCUGAAACCGUGUACGUACAAGCAGUGGGAGCACGCUUAGGCGUGUGACUGCGUACCUUUUGUAUAAUGGGUCAGCGACUUAUAUUCUGUAGCAAGGUUAACCGAAUAGGGGAGCCGAAGGGAAACCGAGUCUUAACUGGGCGUUAAGUUGCAGGGUAUAGACCCGAAACCCGGUGAUCUAGCCAUGGGCAGGUUGAAGGUUGGGUAACACUAACUGGAGGACCGAACCGACUAAUGUUGAAAAAUUAGCGGAUGACUUGUGGCUGGGGGUGAAAGGCCAAUCAAACCGGGAGAUAGCUGGUUCUCCCCGAAAGCUAUUUAGGUAGCGCCUCGUGAAUUCAUCUCCGGGGGUAGAGCACUGUUUCGGCAAGGGGGUCAUCCCGACUUACCAACCCGAUGCAAACUGCGAAUACCGGAGAAUGUUAUCACGGGAGACACACGGCGGGUGCUAACGUCCGUCGUGAAGAGGGAAACAACCCAGACCGCCAGCUAAGGUCCCAAAGUCAUGGUUAAGUGGGAAACGAUGUGGGAAGGCCCAGACAGCCAGGAUGUUGGCUUAGAAGCAGCCAUCAUUUAAAGAAAGCGUAAUAGCUCACUGGUCGAGUCGGCCUGCGCGGAAGAUGUAACGGGGCUAAACCAUGCACCGAAGCUGCGGCAGCGACGCUUAUGCGUUGUUGGGUAGGGGAGCGUUCUGUAAGCCUGUGAAGGUGUGCUGUGAGGCAUGCUGGAGGUAUCAGAAGUGCGAAUGCUGACAUAAGUAACGAUAAAGCGGGUGAAAAGCCCGCUCGCCGGAAGACCAAGGGUUCCUGUCCAACGUUAAUCGGGGCAGGGUGAGUCGACCCCUAAGGCGAGGCCGAAAGGCGUAGUCGAUGGGAAACAGGUUAAUAUUCCUGUACUUGGUGUUACUGCGAAGGGGGGACGGAGAAGGCUAUGUUGGCCGGGCGACGGUUGUCCCGGUUUAAGCGUGUAGGCUGGUUUUCCAGGCAAAUCCGGAAAAUCAAGGCUGAGGCGUGAUGACGAGGCACUACGGUGCUGAAGCAACAAAUGCCCUGCUUCCAGGAAAAGCCUCUAAGCAUCAGGUAACAUCAAAUCGUACCCCAAACCGACACAGGUGGUCAGGUAGAGAAUACCAAGGCGCUUGAGAGAACUCGGGUGAAGGAACUAGGCAAAAUGGUGCCGUAACUUCGGGAGAAGGCACGCUGAUAUGUAGGUGAAGUCCCUCGCGGAUGGAGCUGAAAUCAGUCGAAGAUACCAGCUGGCUGCAACUGUUUAUUAAAAACACAGCACUGUGCAAACACGAAAGUGGACGUAUACGGUGUGACGCCUGCCCGGUGC